UCACUUCGGUGGCGAGUACAGUGGCGCACGGGUGAGUAACGCGUAGAUGAUCUACCCUUCAGUUUGGGACAACUCUUGGAAACGGGAGCUAAUACCGGAUAAAACCUUCGGGUUGAAAGAUUUAUCGCUGGGGGAUGAGUCUGCGUACCAUUAGCUUGUUGGUGGGGUAACGGCCUACCAAGGCGACGAUGGUUAGCGGGUCUGAGAGGACGAUCCGCCACACUGGAACUGAGACACGGUCCAGACUCCUACGGGAGGCAGCAGUAGGGAAUAUUGCGCAAUGGGGGCAACCCUGACGCAGCAAUGCCGCGUGAGUGAAGAAGGCCUUCGGGUCGUAAAGCUCUUUUAUGGGGGAAGAUGAUGACGGUACCCCAUGAAUAAGCACCGGCUAACUACGUGCCAGCAGCCGCGGUAAUACGUAGGGUGCGAGCGUUGUUCGGAAUUACUGGGCGUAAAGGGCGUGCAGGCGGAUUGGCAAGCCGGAGGUGAAAGCCCGGGGCUCAACCCCGGAGGGUCUUUCGGAACUGCCAGUCUUGAGAGGGUCAGGGGCCAGCGGAAUUCCUGGUGUAGAGGUGAAAUUCGUAGAGAUCAGGAGGAACACCGGCGGCGAAAGCGGCUGGCUGGGGCCACUCUGACGCUGAGGCGCGAAA
Molecule: ribosomal RNA, 650 nt
Filed under: uncultured marine bacterium
Lineage: Bacteria
Description: bacterial SSU rRNA
Rfam family: Bacterial small subunit ribosomal RNA
Source: RNAcentral